CUGAGAGUACACCGGCUGAUGCAGAACCCGUGCUCUAUGUUGAGUCAGCUGAUUCAGAGCAGAGGCGCCUUCUGGGGAACCCCGUGCCAGCCCUGCAAGGACUGGCCACCUGGCUGGUUCCGCCCCGUUCCAGCUGCUUCGGAAGCCUUCUCUGAUCACCAACACUCAGAACGUGCUAUGCUGUGUGCUACACGCUGAGGAUGUGAGGAUAAAAGUCACAGUCCAGGGCCGAAAAGUGCUCCCAGCCUAGGGAGGAGGACAGUGUGGUCUUCCAGCGUUUGGCUCCAGCUUCAUCAACGGUGAUGGGAAAGCCCUACCCAUGCAUGAUGUAAGGCCUGCUUUCUCUUGGACCAGCCUGUUUCUGUUCUGUUCGCUUUGGAGGUGGUGGUGGGGUGGCCAUAGCAUGUUGUGUUUAUUCCCAAGGAAAAGAGCAGGCUCCCUCUCCAGCUACUUUUCGGUUCUUCAUUAUUUGUUAAUUCCAACUCUCCAGCCUCCAGCAAGGCAAAUUUACAGCCUAUUAAUAGUAGCUAUGUGGAAGCCUCAUAUUCCAAAUGUUUUCUGAUAAAAGACCAAGAACAUUCUUUGUGAAAAAAUAUUUCAGAAAUACUUGGCUGGUUUCUCCCUAUUCUGACUGCUCUCCUUUCUGUUCUCCCCUCUCCCCAGCCCAGUGCCAGAUGCUGCCUUAGCCUCGUCACUGCUCUGAAACGCUGCUUUUGCAUUUGACCCAGCAGUUGGCAGUGAACUCUAGGUGGUGGGAAUAUGGGUUUUAGUUACAGUACUCUUUAGACUCUUCUGUAGCUUUUUACAUCUAUCAGAAGAGAACAACCCUGAAAUAAAUUGCUUCUCGCCCUCUUUCCUGGGGCUGUGUUGGCGGUGCUGCUGCUAUCUCAGUUCCCAGGCUGUUCACAGGACCACACUGUUUCCUUUGUGCACAACGAGAUCUCCAUGUUCCAGGGCUGUGUUUCUCCCACCUAACCACUGAGGCUUGCCAACCAUUCUUGCAGGACCGGGAAGUGAACCACCGAUACUACAGAUUAAAAACAAAGUAAGGAGAUAUGGGGUCCCUGGGGACUGCUCUACUGAACUCUACCGUGGAUUACUUACUAGCUUUGCUCCAGUUCCCAGGGAGAAUAUCCAGGUUCUGGAGGCAGACAGACCCGACCACAGCCACGGGGGUAGUCUGGACCAAGGUGACACAUUGCUUGGCACU
Molecule: non-coding RNA, 1210 nt
Organism: Oryctolagus cuniculus (rabbit)
Lineage: Eukaryota; Metazoa; Chordata; Mammalia; Lagomorpha; Leporidae
Source: RefSeq, a predicted model, not a curated record